Molecule: ribosomal RNA, 663 nt
Filed under: uncultured Methanosaeta sp.
Lineage: Archaea; Methanobacteriati; Methanobacteriota; Methanomicrobia; Methanotrichales; Methanotrichaceae
Description: bacterial SSU rRNA
Rfam family: Archaeal small subunit ribosomal RNA
Source: RNAcentral
CGGCUCAGUAACACGUGGACAACCUACCCUUGAGACGGGGAUAAACCCGGGAAACUGGGUAUAAUACCCGAUAGAUCUCGACUGCUGGAAUGCAUCGAGCUUGAAAGCUCCGGCGCUCAAGGAUGGGUCUGCGGCCUAUCAGGUAGUAGUGGGUGUAGCGUACCUACUAGCCUACGACGGGUACGGGUUGUGAGAGCAAGAGCCCGGAGAUGGAUUCUGAGACACGAAUCCAGGCCCUACGGGGUGCAGCAGGCGCGAAAACUUUACAAUGCUGGAAACAGCGAUAAGGGGACCUCGAGUGCCAGGUUACAAAUCUGGCUGUCGUGAUGCCUAAAAAGCAUUGCAUAGCAAGGGCCGGGCAAGACCGGUGCCAGCCGCCGCGGUAACACCGGCGGCUCGAGUGGUAACCGUUAUUAUUGGGUCUAAAGGGUCUGUAGCCGGCCGGAUAAGUCUCUUGGGAAAUCUGGCAGCUUAACUGUCAGGCUUUCAGGAGAUACUGUCUGGCUCGAGGCCGGGAGAGGUGAGAGGUACUUCAGGGGUAGGGGUGAAAUCUUGUAAUCCUUGAAGGACCACCAGUGGCGAAGGCGUCUCACCAGAACGGACCUGACGGCAAGGGACGAAAGCUAGGGGCACGAACCGGAUUAGAUACCCGGGUAGUCCUAG